UACAGGGGGGGCAAGCGUUGUUCGGAAUUACUGGGCGUAAAGGGUCUGUAGGUGGCCCACUAAGUCAGACGUGAAAUCCCUCAGCUUAACUGGGGAACUGCGUCUGAUACUGGAUGGCUUGAGUGUGGGAGAGGAAUGCGGAAUUCCAGGUGUAGCGGUGAAAUGCGUAGAUAUCUGGAGGAACACCGGUGGCGAAGGCGGCAUUCUGGACCAUAACUGACACUGAGAGACGAAAGCCAGGGGAGCAAACGGG
Molecule: ribosomal RNA, 253 nt
Filed under: uncultured bacterium
Lineage: Bacteria
Description: partial 16S ribosomal RNA
Rfam family: Bacterial small subunit ribosomal RNA
Source: RNAcentral